CAUUCAGUAGCCUAGCUACUUGUUUUUACACCCUUGUUUUUUGCGUACCUAUUGUUUCCUCGGCGGGCUUGCUCGCCGGUUGGACAAAACUUAUAACCUUUUUUAAAUCUUCAAUCAGCGUCUGAAUUAUACAUAAUAAUUA
Molecule: unclassified non-coding RNA, 142 nt
Filed under: uncultured Stagonospora
Lineage: Eukaryota; Fungi; Ascomycota; Dothideomycetes; Pleosporales; Pleosporaceae
Description: sequence contains ITS1
Source: RNAcentral